RNAcentral lists this ribosomal RNA (1470 nucleotides) under metagenome. RNAcentral describes it as "bacterial SSU rRNA". It matches the Rfam family "Bacterial small subunit ribosomal RNA". The record is from RNAcentral.
AGAGUUUGAUCCUGGCUCAGGACGAACGCUGGCGGCACGCUUAACACAUGCAAGUCGAACGAGAGAAGAGGAGCUUGCUUUUCUGAUCUAGUGGCGGACGGGUGAGUAACACGUGAGCAAUCUGCCUUUCAGAGGGGGAUACCGAUUGGAAACGAUCGUUAAUACCGCAUAACAUAAUUGAACCGCAUGAUUUGAUUAUCAAAGAUUUAUCGCUGAAAGAUGAGCUCGCGUCUGAUUAGCUAGUUGGUAAGGUAACGGCUUACCAAGGCGACGAUCAGUAGCCGGACUGAGAGGUUGAUCGGCCACGUUGGGACUGAGACACGGCCCAGACUCCUACGGGAGGCAGCAGUGGGGAAUAUUGCACAAUGGAGGAAACUCUGAUGCAGCGAUGCCGCGUGAGGGAAGAAGGUUUUAGGAUUGUAAACCUCUGUCUUCAGGGACGAAAAAAGACGGUACCUGAGGAGGAAGCUCCGGCUAACUACGUGCCAGCAGCCGCGGUAAUACGUAGGGAGCGAGCGUUGUCCGGAAUUACUGGGUGUAAAGGGAGCGUAGGCGGGAUCGCAAGUCAGAUGUGAAAACUAUGGGCUUAACCCAUAAACUGCAUUUGAAACUGUGGUUCUUGAGUGAAGUAGAGGUAAGCGGAAUUCCUAGUGUAGCGGUGAAAUGCGUAGAUAUUAGGAGGAACAUCAGUGGCGAAGGCGGCUUACUGGGCUUUAACUGACGCUGAGGCUCGAAAGCGUGGGGAGCAAGCAGGAUUAGAUACCCUGGUAGUCCACGCCGUAAACGAUGAUUACUAGGUGUGGGGGGACUGACCCCUUCCGUGCCGCAGCAAACGCAAUAAGUAAUCCACCUGGGGAGUACGACCGCAAGGUUGAAACUCAAAGGAAUUGACGGGGGCCCGCACAAGCAGUGGAGUAUGUGGAUUAAUUCGAAGCAACGCGAAGAACCUUACCAGGUCUUGACAUCGUAUGCAUAGCUCAGAGAUGAGUGAAAUCUCUUCGGAGACAUAUAGACAGGUGGUGCAUGGUUGUCGUCAGCUCGUGUCGUGAGAUGUUGGGUUAAGUCCCGCAACGAGCGCAACCCUUACUGUUAGUUGCUACGCAAGAGCACUCUAGCAGGACUGCCGUUGACAAAACGGAGGAAGGUGGGGAUGACGUCAAAUCAUCAUGCCCCUUAUGACCUGGGCCUCACACGUACUACAAUGGCUGUCAACAGAGGGAAGCAAAGCCGCGAGGUGGAGCGAACCCCUAAAAGCAGUCUUAGUUCGGAUUGUAGGCUGCAACCCGCCUACAUGAAGUCGGAAUUGCUAGUAAUCGCAGAUCAGCAUGCUGCGGUGAAUACGUUCCCGGGCCUUGUACACACCGCCCGUCACGCCAUGGGAGUCGGCAACACCCGAAGCCUGUAGUCUAACCGCAAGGAGGACGCAGUCGAAGGUGGGAUUGAUGACUGGGGUGAAGUCGUAACAAGGUA